Molecule: ribosomal RNA, 56 nt
Filed under: Cladosporium oxysporum
Lineage: Eukaryota; Fungi; Ascomycota; Dothideomycetes; Cladosporiales; Cladosporiaceae
Also listed under: 6 other names
Description: partial 28S ribosomal RNA
Source: RNAcentral
GUUGACCUCGGAUCAGGUAGGGAUACCCGCUGAACUUAAGCAUAUCAAUAAGCGGA